GACGAACGCUGGCGGCGUGCUUAACACAUGCAAGUCGAACGGAAAGGCCUGCUUUCCCUUGUGGAUUGCGGGUACUCGAGUGGCGAACGGGUGAGUAACACGUGAGUGACCUGUCCCCAACUUGGGUAUAAGCCUGGGAAACUGGGUCUAAUUCCCGAUAGGACUGCAGGGUGGUGGCUGUGGUGGAAAACGAUUUUCUAGUGGUUGGGGAUGAGCUCGCGGCCUAUCAGCUUGUUGGUGGGGUAAUGGCCUACCAAGGCGGCGACGGGUAGCCGGCCUGAGAGGGUGGACGGCCACAUUGGGACUGAGAUACGGCCCAGACUCCUACGGGAGGCAGCAGUGGGGAAUAUUGCACAAUGGGCGGAAGCCUGAUGCAGCGACGCCGCGUGGGGGAUGACGGCCUUCGGGUUGUAAACUCCUUUCGACCGCGAGGAAGCCACCUGGUUGGAAGGGUGGUGACGGUAGUGGUAGAAGAAGCACCGGCUAACUACGUG
Molecule: ribosomal RNA, 494 nt
Filed under: uncultured bacterium
Lineage: Bacteria
Description: partial 16S ribosomal RNA
Rfam family: Bacterial small subunit ribosomal RNA
Source: RNAcentral